CUACGGGGUGCAGCAGUAAGGAAUAUUGCGCAAUGGAGGCAACUCUGACGCAGCCAUGCCGCGUGCAGGAAGAAGGCCUUAUGGGUCGUAAACUGCUUUUAUUUAGGAAUAAACCCCCGAACGUGUUCGGGGCUGAAGGUACUAAACGAAUAAGCACCGGCUAACUCCGUGCCAGCGAGCCGCGGUAAUACGGAGGGUGCAAGCGUUAUCCGGAUUUAUUGGGUUUAAAGGGUGCGCAGGCGGGCUAUUAAGUCAGUGGUGAAAUCCCGGGGCUCAACUCCGGAACUGCCAUUGAUACUGAUAGUCUUGAGUUUGGUUGAAGUGGGCGGAAUGUAGCAUGUAGCGGUGAAAUGCAUAGAUAUGCUACAGAACACCAAUCGCGAAGGCAGCUCACUAAGCCAAAACUGACGCUCAUGCACGAAAGCGUGGGGAUCAAACAGGAUUAGAUACCCUUGUAGUC
Molecule: ribosomal RNA, 460 nt
Filed under: uncultured bacterium
Lineage: Bacteria
Description: partial 16S ribosomal RNA
Rfam family: Bacterial small subunit ribosomal RNA
Source: RNAcentral